This 464-nucleotide ribosomal RNA is filed under the name uncultured bacterium. RNAcentral describes it as "partial 16S ribosomal RNA". It matches the Rfam family "Bacterial small subunit ribosomal RNA", at positions 28 to 507 of the family's 1533-position model. The record is from RNAcentral.
GACGAACGCUGGCGGCGUGCCUAACACAUGCAGGUCGAGCGAAUGAAGUUCCUUCGGGAACGGAUUUAGCGGCGGACGGGUGAGUAACACGUGGGCAACCUGCCUCAUAGAGGGGAAUAGCCUUCCGAAAGGGAGAUUAAUACCGCAUAAGAUUGUAGUACCGCAUGGUACAGCAAUUAAAGGAGCAAUCCGCUAUGAGAUGGGCCCGCGGCGCAUUAGCUAGUUGGUGAGGUAACGGCUCACCAAGGCGACGAUGCGUAGCCGACCUGAGAGGGUGAUCGGCCACAUUGGGACUGAGACACGGCCCAGACUCCUACGGGAGGCAGCAGUGGGGAAUAUUGCACAAUGGGGGAAACCCUGAUGCAGCAACGCCGCGUGAGUGAUGACGGCCUUCGGGUUGUAAAGCUCUGUCUUCAGGGACGAUAAUGACGGUACCUGAGGAGGAAGCCACGGCUAACUACGUG